This 351-nucleotide long non-coding RNA is filed under the name Brassica napus (rape). RNAcentral describes it as "long non-coding RNA (BNAP_LNC013623)". Lineage: Eukaryota; Viridiplantae; Streptophyta; Magnoliopsida; Brassicales; Brassicaceae. The record is from RNAcentral.
CGCAGUGAAUGUUUUUCGAGAAAUCCUUGAAAGACUUUAUCCGGUAUUUUAGAGUCAACUAAAAAAGUUUUUGUUUAUAGCCAAUUUAUAAAAUAUUUGUAUAUAACAAUAUCAUCCGAGUGUUAUAUUAUAUGAAGUUUGGAAAAGAGGUUUGUUAUGUGACACCAAUGGGAUUGAAACAUCCAAAAAUUGGAAUUAUUGUGUAAGAAAAACCAGUAGUUUGAAAGUUCAUAAAUAUGGUGAAUUUCUUGAAAAUGAUGGAACUCAACCGAAGUUCAACUAUAAGACGUGUGGUGAUGUUAAUCAGGUCUUGCCAAGGUAUAUUUUAUUAAAUAUUUGUAUUUAAUUUUA